GCGAACGCUGGCGGCAGGCCUAACACAUGCAAGUCGAGCGGCCGUAGCAAUACGGCAGCGGCAGACGGGAUAGUAACACGUGGGAACGCGCCCUUCGGUUCGGAAUAACUCAGGGAAACUUGAGCUAAUACCGGAUACGCCCUUACGGGGAAAGAUUUAUUGCCGAAGGAACGGCCCGCGUCGGAUUAGCUAGUUGGUGAGGUAAUGGCUCACCAAGGCGACGAUCAGUAGCUGGUCUGAGAGGAUGAUCAGCCACACUGGGACUGAGACACGGCCCAGACUCCUACGGGAGGCAGCAGUGGGGAAUAUUGGACAAUGGGCGCAAGCCUGAUCCAGCCAUGCCGCGUGAGUGAUGAAGGCCUUAGGGUUGUAAAGCUCUUUUGUCCGGGACGAUAAUGACGGUACCGGAAGAAUAAGCCCCGGCUAACUUCGU
RNAcentral lists this ribosomal RNA (433 nucleotides) under uncultured bacterium. RNAcentral's name for it is "bacterial SSU rRNA". It matches the Rfam family "Bacterial small subunit ribosomal RNA", at positions 29 to 506 of the family's 1533-position model. The record is from RNAcentral.